Molecule: ribosomal RNA, 407 nt
Filed under: uncultured bacterium
Lineage: Bacteria
Description: bacterial SSU rRNA
Rfam family: Bacterial small subunit ribosomal RNA
Source: RNAcentral
CAAUGGGCGCAAGCCUGAUCCAGCCAUGCCGCGUGAGUGAUGAAGGCCCUAGGGUUGUAAAGCUCUUUUGUGCGGGAAGAUAAUGACGGUACCGCAAGAAUAAGCCCCGGCUAACUUCGUGCCAGCAGCCGCGGUAAUACGAAGGGGGCUAGCGUUGCUCGGAAUCACUGGGCGUAAAGGGUGCGUAGGCGGGUCUUUAAGUCAGGGGUGAAAUCCUGGAGCUCAACUCCAGAACUGCCUUUGAUACUGAAGAUCUUGAGUUCGGGAGAGGUGAGUGGAACUGCGAGUGUAGAGGUGAAAUUCGUAGAUAUUCGCAAGAACACCAGUGGCGAAGGCGGCUCACUGGCCCGAUACUGACGCUGAGGCACGAAAGCGUGGGGAGCAAACAGGAUUAGAUACCCUGGUAG